ACUCAAAGGAAUAGACGGGGGCCCGCACAAGCGGCGGAGCAUGCGGAUUAAUUCGAUGCAACGCGAAGAACCUUACCUAGGUUUGACAUAUACGAGAACCCUUUAGAGAUAAAGGGCUCUUUGGACACUCGUAUACAGGUGGUGCAUGGCUGUCGUCAGCUCGUGUCGUGAGAUGUUGGGUUAAGUCCCGCAACGAGCGCAACCCUCGUCUUAUGUUGCCAGCGGGUAAUGCCGGGGACUCAUAAGAGACUGCCGGGGUCAACUCGGAGGAAGGUGGGGAUGACGUCAAGUCAUCAUGCCCCUUAAGUCUAGGGCUUCACGCAUGCUACAAUGGCCGGUACAAAGGGCUGCGAAACCGCAAGGUGGAGCGAAUCCCAAAAAGCCGGUCUCAGUUCGGAUUGGGGUCUGCAACUCGACCCCAUGAAGUCGGAGUCGCUAGUAAUCGCAGAUCAGCAACGCUGCGGUGAAUACGUUCCCGGGCCUUGUACACACCGCCCGU
RNAcentral lists this ribosomal RNA (499 nucleotides) under uncultured bacterium. RNAcentral describes it as "partial 16S ribosomal RNA". It matches the Rfam family "Bacterial small subunit ribosomal RNA", at positions 899 to 1397 of the family's 1533-position model. The record is from RNAcentral.